This is a non-coding RNA of Arachis ipaensis, 4278 nucleotides long. The record is from RefSeq and is a predicted model, not a curated record. Lineage: Eukaryota; Viridiplantae; Streptophyta; Magnoliopsida; Fabales; Fabaceae.
UCUCUCAGCCAGCAGCCCCUCUCUCUCUCUCUCAGCCACCACCAGCAGCAGCCACCGCCGUUGCCGAACUCUUCUCGUCAGCCAGAGGGUGCCUCGCAGCCGGCAUUGACGACAGAGGGUCAGCUCGAAGCUCUUGGCCGUCGAUCCUCUUCUCCUCCUCCUCGUCGCCUUUGGCCUUGUAGGCUUCUUCGUGGCCGUCUUCUCUAAAUCGUCUUCGUCUUCAUCGUCAUGGACUUGCAGAUCGAAGCGCCGUCAGUUGGAUUCCUCCAUCGCUGGUCAGUUUGCUCAAUCUCAAAGAACUCAUCGAGUAUAAAGGUCUUCAGCAGAACUUGAAGGACUUCUCGUUUCUCACCCUCAAAUAUUAGAUGCUGUUGUCAUCCCAUAUCUAGAUGAUGAGGCUGGUGUGAUUCCAAUUGCCCUUGUUGUUCGUUCACCCAACACUUCACUCACUGAACAAAAUGUUCAGAAGUUUAUUGCUAAUCAGGUUUAGAAGUGAGCAGUCAUCAGCAGUGUUCCUAAGACAGCUUCAGGAAAAAUACUCAGAAGAGACCUCAUAGCAAAAGUACGAUCCAAAAUAUAGAAAGAUAUUCUAAACAUCACUGCUCCCCCUUCCCCUUUUUGGGAUCCCGUCAUUCUUCUUCACUAUAAUCAGCAAAUUUUGCAUGCACUUAUUAUAAUGAUGUUUAUUUUGCAUGCACAGAUACAUGAAUUUUACAUUUGUUUUCUAGGGUUUAAAUAUGAUAUGGAUUGACGGCUGCGGUUGAAUCCACAUUUAGUGAUUAUUUAAUUUUUUUGUAUAUUUUUAUUGUGGUUAGAAUUUUAACUUUUAUUUUCUCUUUCAAAUAUCUACUACAUAGUACAUACCUUUGGUUAGAAUUACCUAAUUGUUUGUUUUUUUCUUGCAUUUCAAUUGUAUUGUUCACUUUGUAAUAGGGAAAUAAUUGCUAGUGUUUGUGUAGUGGGAGAUGCAUGGGUGGAGAGCACUGAGAAGGGUUAUUAAAAUGGAGCUAUUUUGCAUUUAGGAUAAAACUGGUAGUCUGCAACUCUCCAUGGGUUUGCAGCAUAUUGUGUCGAUGGACAUUGCAGCUUUAGGUUAACGUUGUGUUGCUGUACUUGUCUGAUACGAGACUGAAUCGAUUUGUGCUUGUUGCGGGUACAAAUUAAUUUUAUGAGAUUCCUGUUUAGUAGUUUAGCUUGUUGUGAAAGUUUGAUUCCUGUUUAGUAGUUUAGCUUGUUAUGAAAGUUUGAUUCCUGUUUAGUACUUUAGCUUUUUGAUACUUUUCCUUGAGUGGAAUUUCACAUUCUUGAUAUUUAAGAUACGAGUUUUGUGCAAACAUGAUAUUGGUGCAGUGGAAUUUCACAUCCUUCAGUAAGUAUUACUCAUAAUUAUCUUAAUUAUUUAUCCUUCCUGUUAUGAAUACUGAUGAUUAAACUAAUAAAUGGAAUCAGGGUUCUAAGGCUUCAAAAGGGACACAAAUUCUGCUUGCUUGGUAGAUUGUCAUCUGAGGUUGGAUGGAACUACUAUGAUACCAUCACUGUUUGAAGUUGAUUGCGUAGCUUUCAUUCUAUUUUCAAGUUUUAUAAUUGUGUGAGAGUGUCCAACAAGUUAAGAUGUCUGACAGUGACAAAAGAAAAAAAAACAAAAGAUGACCUCCAACAAAAGAUGACCUCCAACAAUAAACAUCCAAUUCUACCACUACUUCAUCUGCUACAGCGGCCAAUACACUUCCGUCAUUAAUUCCCAAUCCAAGUAUCUCUGAAAAUGCUCAAACAGUGUCAAAUCCAAGAGAGCAAGUACCUAACAAUGAAGUUGAAACCGAAGGCAAUCAAAUUGGAGUGGUUAUCUACUCACGCGUCUUCAAAUAUUGAGACAAGUCAAAGGAAGCUAAAACUGGACUUUGCAAGAGAAGGGUACGUUUAUAUAGAAUAAAUGUACAUAACAAUUAAACUACUUAUUAAUAGAAUAAGAAAAUAGAUAUUUAUUCAGGUAUAAAUAAUAAAGAAUAUAAUGAUUGAAUAAGAAAGUAAUUACUAUUUUUAAAAAAUAAUCAAAUUUUGAAAAUCUUUAUUAAUUUGUUUUGAAUGGGUUUGAUUAGUUAUUAUUAUAUCCCAAUCUCAAUGAUAUAUAUUUCUGAUUAGUUAUUAGUAGUUUUUAUGAGUAUUAUAGCAUUUUUUAAUAAUUUCUGAUUAGUUAUUAAUUUGUAAUAUGUCAUUGUUCAUUAAUUUAUUGAUGUUCACUAUAAGAAGAUUUCACUCCUUUGGUGCUUGAUCUGUUGUCAUCAACAGAUUCUAUUUUGUAUUUUGUGGGGAUAAAUUUACUUUCUUAACAAAUUUUUUGGAUUUAGGAUAAAUUUAUUCUGUUUUUACUAUUAGAACAGGGUCUUAUCAUUCUAAGUUUACUUCCUUAACACCAUAUAAGACUACAAUAAUUUUAUUUUUUGAAGUUAAUCUUUUAUAUUGUAUUCCGAUUGAUAUUAAGUAAUAUCUACAUAUAUUUACCUUCCCCUACCGCGGCUCAUGCAAUUUCGGACAUUAUUAAAGGGCAUUACUCUCAGCUGUGGCCUUCGUGGAAAAAAAAUACCAAAUGCUACUAGGAAAUUUUGGUGGGAAAAGUUCGAAGUAGGUUUUAGAGAAACAUUUAAUCUUUGGUAGAUUAAGAAUUAGUUCUAAAUUUGAAAAAUAUAAUAUAUAUCAACUUAUAACUAUUCUUACUUGUGUUGAUUAUCCUGAAGUAAACAUCAGUUUUUUCCUCCAAAUCUUCAUUGGGUUCGAAAAAAUUGAGAAGCGAGGUGCGACUUUACUAAAAAAUUUGUUGGGAAAAGUUCGUGCAAGUCGUGUCAAACCUCAAUGGAUAUGAGAUGUUGUGUAGUAUGCUCUCUGUGCUUAUUGGAAUAUUGAACGCUGGGUUUCUACAAAAGAGUACGCAAGGCAAGUUAAAUCGAGCAUCUGAUUGCAGCGGAUUUGGAGUGACUCUUCAUACUGUUGGCUUAAUUUUCGUUACCCAAUACAAAGCUAAUAUGGUGAUGUUAUAGAAAAAUUUAGAUCUUUUAUGUUAUAAGUUUAUACACUUUAAUUGGUAGCUGAUAUUCAUAGAUUUUUUAAUUUAUAUGUUUGGUAUAAAAAGUCAUUAAAGAAGAUUCCAACACCGUUAUAAUCAUUUGCGAAGACCUACAAACACAAGGAUGAGACAUGGUGGAUAAGAAAUCAAAACAUGUUGAAGUGAAUCUAUCUUAAUCAAAAUAUAUAUUUCUCUCUCUAUGUAUUAUUUUAAUAUUGCAUUAGGACUAAUGUUUCAGCUCAUAGGAUUAGUGUUGAGGCCUUGCAAGUUGUAAUUAAACUAACAUGAUAUUUUCAUUCCCUCUUAUAUUUAUAGUUUAAUUACAACUUGCAAGGCCUCUUUCUAUUGGAUGUUACAACCCUAUGAGCUGAAACACUAGUCCUAAUGCAAUAUUAAAAUAAUACAUACAGAUGGAGAGAUAUAAAUUUUGAUUAAGAUAGACUCACUUCAACAUGUUUUGAUUUCUUAUUCAUCCAUGUCUCAUCCUUUUGUUUGUGGGUUUUCGCAAAUAAUUCUAACCGUGUUGGAGUGCUCUUUAAUGAUUUUUUCUACCAAACAUAUAAAUUAAAAAACCUAUGAGUAUCAACUACUAAUUGAAGUGUAUAAAAUUAUAACAUAAAAGAUCUAAGUUUUUCUAUAACAUCACCAUAUUAGCUUUGUGUUGGAUAACGGAAAUUGAGCCAGCAAUACGAAGAGCCGCUCCAAAUCCGCUACAAUCAGAUGCUCGAUUUAACUUGCCUUGCGCGCUCUUUUGUAGAAACCUAGCGUCAGUAUUCCAAUAAACACAGAGAGCAUCCCACACAACAUUUCCUAUCCAUUGAGGUUUGACACGACUUACACGAGCUUUUCCCAACAAAUUUUUUAGUAAAGCCGCACUUAGCUUCUCAAAAUUUUUUCGAGCCCAAUGAAGAUCGGGAGAAAAAACUGAUGUUUGCUCUGGAUAAUCAACACAAGUAAGAAUAGUUAUAAGUUGAUAUGUAUUAUAUUUUUCAAAUUUAGAACUAAUUUUUAAUCUACCAAAGAUUAAAUGUUUCUUUAAAACCUACUUCAAUUUUUUUCCACCAAAAUUUCCUAGUAGCAUCUGGUAUUUCUUUAUGAAGGCCACGGCUGAGAGUAAUGCCCUUUAAUAAUGUCCGAAAUUGCAUGAGCCGCGGUAGGUGAAGGUAAAAAUCUGUAGAUAUUACUUAAUAUCAAUCGGAAUACAAUAUAAGAGGUUAACU